Long non-coding RNA from Manihot esculenta (cassava), 829 nucleotides. RefSeq lists it as uncharacterized. NCBI's taxonomy places the organism in Eukaryota, Viridiplantae, Streptophyta, Magnoliopsida, Malpighiales, Euphorbiaceae. The record is from RefSeq and is a predicted model, not a curated record. The transcript is spliced from 2 exons.
AUCAUACGUAUCAGAGGAGAAUUAAUGGCCGUUACCCAUGGAGCAGGCGCCUGACACAUCCGUACAUACGGAGCUAGGCGACAGAAGACAGCUAGCAUUGUGGCAGAGAGACAGAUAUAUAUAUCAUUGUAGAAGCCACGCAGAAGGGGGCUCUCUUCUUCUUCCUUCUCCUUCCUGGACACCAUUUUUAUUCUUUCUGUAACCCUUGCCUAAAUAUACUACUCUGAGCCAUAAAAUCUGACUUGAGCGUCGGAGGGCCUCUGCCGGGGCACCCCCCGGUAGGCCCCUGACCAUUCUUUCUUAUUUUACAGGUCCUUUCACCAGAUAGAACAUGGAGAGACCCAUCAGGGAGCCCAACAAGAAAGGACCCAGAGGAAAACCAGAUCUAUCAUGGACCAGGAAGAGGAAAAUAUUUAUCAAAUGGCGCCGUCUGUGGGAAACGAAGGAGAUCUUUUCAUCACCGGAGUUUUCACUUUCAAAACCCACUGAGAUCCACAAUGGCAAACCACCAAGAAAAUAACCUUAACGUCAUUCCAAAUAAUCUGAGCUCUGCCAAAGAGGGGGAACGGUUCUUAUUUUCCAGUCCUACAACUCCAAACAACCAACCACCCAUUCCUUUUAACCCCUCGCCGAGCUUGGCCGGGAAUGUGCCCUCCACGAAAGAGAUUUUACUAUCUCAAAAGUUUUCAGAUCCACCCAUUGAGAUCCACAUAAGAUUUUAUUACGGCUGAUUUUUUCUUUGAAGUCUGGUGAAUAUUUUCUGUAAAAGAAAAAAAAAAGGGUGAGGAAUAUGUGUAUUGUUGAAAUUCUGAGGUCCGCUGUAUAUAUA